This 250-nucleotide unclassified non-coding RNA is filed under the name Hevea brasiliensis (rubber tree). The record is from RNAcentral. Lineage: Eukaryota; Viridiplantae; Streptophyta; Magnoliopsida; Malpighiales; Euphorbiaceae.
GAGAGAUCAGUUGGAAGAAAAAGAGUACACCUUGAGCAUGAUUUUGAAUACCCUGGAUGAAGUUAAUGUUGGCUCCAACAUCGAUAAUCCAGUUGAGAAGCUAAAAAGAGUUGGGCAAUUAUGCCAUGAUUUGCAAUCAGCUCUUGCAUCUUCUGAACAUGAAACAAAGAAAUCUAAAAGAGCAGCUGAGUUACUUCUUGCCGAGUUAAAUGAGGUGCAAGAACGAAAUGAUGGCCUCCAAGAGGAGCUA